CAGCAGCCGCGGGAAUACGAAGGGUGCAAGCGUUAAUCGGAAUUACUGGGCGUAAAGCGCGCGUAGGUGGUUUGGUAAGAUGGAUGUGAAAUCCCCGGGCUCAACCUGGGAACUGCAUCCAUAACUGCCUGACUAGAGUACGGUAGAGGUUGGUGGAAUUUCCUGUGUAGCGGUGAAAUGCGUAGAUAUAGGAAGGAACACCAGUGGCGAAGGCGACCACCUGGACUGAUACUGACACUGAGGUGCGAAAGCGUGGGGAGCAAACAGGAUUAGAUACCCGCGUAGUCCCUGUCUCUUAUAC
This 301-nucleotide ribosomal RNA is filed under the name uncultured bacterium. RNAcentral's name for it is "partial 16S ribosomal RNA". It matches the Rfam family "Bacterial small subunit ribosomal RNA", at positions 509 to 807 of the family's 1533-position model. The record is from RNAcentral.